This 497-nucleotide ribosomal RNA is filed under the name uncultured bacterium. RNAcentral's name for it is "partial 16S ribosomal RNA". It matches the Rfam family "Bacterial small subunit ribosomal RNA", at positions 28 to 507 of the family's 1533-position model. The record is from RNAcentral.
GAUGAACGCUGGCGGCGUGCCUAAUACAUGCCAGUCGAGCGAACAGACGAGGAGCUUGCUCCUCUGACGUUAGCGGCGGACGGGUGAGUAACACGUGGAUAACCUACCUAUAAGACUGGGAUAACUUCGGGAAACCGGAGCUAAUACCGGAUAAUAUAUUGAACCGCAUGGUUCAAUAGUGAAAGACGGUUUUGCUGUCACUUAUAGAUGGAUCCGCGCCGGAUUAGCUAGUUGGUAAGGUAACGGCUUACCAAGGCAACGAUGCGUAGCCGACCUGAGAGGGUGAUCAGCCACACUGGAACUGAGACACGGUCCAGACUCCUACGGGAGGCAGCAGUAGGGAAUCUUCCGCAAUGGGCGAAAGCUUGACGGAGCAACGCCGCGUGAGUGAUGAAGGUCUUCGGAUCGUAAAACUCUUUUAUUAGGGAAGAACAAAUGUGUAAGUAACUAUGCACGUCUUGACGGUACCUAAUCAGAAAGCCACGGCUAACUACGUG